Molecule: ribosomal RNA, 497 nt
Filed under: uncultured bacterium
Lineage: Bacteria
Description: bacterial SSU rRNA
Rfam family: Bacterial small subunit ribosomal RNA
Source: RNAcentral
GAUGAACGCUAGCGGCAGGCUUAAUACAUGCAAGUUGAGGGGCAGCAUGAUAUACGCGAGUAUAUUGAUGGCGACCGGCGGACGGGUGAGUAAUAGGUAGGAGACCUACCUCAUACAGGGGGAUAGCAUAGAGAAAUCUGUGGUAAUACCCCAUGAGGUUAUAUGAAUAGAGGCAUAUAAUCAAAGCAUAAGCGAUUAUGCGGUAUGAGAGGGGCCUACUGACCAUUAGCUAGUUGGUGAGGUAAGGGCUCACCAAGGCGAAGAUGGUUAGGGGUUUUGAGAGAGAGACCCCCCACAUUGGGACUGAGAGACGGUCCAGACUCCUACGGGAGGCAGCAGUAGGGAAUAUUGGGCAAUGGGCGAAAGCCUGACCCAGCCAUGCCGCGUGAAGGAAGACGGCCUUAUGGGUUGUAAACUUCUUUACUACGCGAAUAGAGGUUAGUACGAGAUACUAAUAGGAAGGUAGUGUAGUAAAAAGCACCGGCUAACUCCGUGCC